This 1750-nucleotide long non-coding RNA is filed under the name Varroa destructor (honeybee mite). Its description in RNAcentral is "uncharacterized LOC111254831, transcript variant X4". The record is from RNAcentral. Lineage: Eukaryota; Metazoa; Arthropoda; Arachnida; Mesostigmata; Varroidae.
AAUAGAAACAAACACAUGCCUACCUAAAACUAUCAUUUACUGGUACAAACGUAAAGAGUAAAAUAAGGUAUCCUAAUUAUAUCGAGACAGAAUCCUACUAAUACGUCAAUGAUUUCAAAUUUCCUGCAUCUCAAAUAAUACAUACAAAUGUGCAGCGACUCCUAACUUUAGUUAUGGGCACGCAGUUGAGGAUUUUAUAACUUUGAUACUGACACCGUAAAUACAAUAUUUUUGGUUCUAUUAAGUGCCGGUUAAUUCUGCCGGUUAAUUCGUUUAGGAAAACAUUAAUUUUUUGUCUAGGAAACAAGUUACAUAAUCAUAAGUUAGCUGAAGCUAGACACCACAUGAGAAUUGGUGACAACCUAGAGAAUAUUAGGGUAAAGCUUAUAUUACUUCCAUCAACUUCAAUUCAAAUGGUUAAUUUAAGCAAUUCGAUGAGCGGCACAAAUAACCAUUGCAAUCAAAAAAAAACUUGUGACCAAAACUCGUAAAGCGUUCUGCCCUUAUCAGUUGACAUCUAACGAAAGUCACCCAGAGGGUCUAUAGCAGAAAAGGCCAAUAUACCUUAAACUUUGCAUUUUCAUGGCAAAGUACUUCUAUUAUACGUUGCGUAUCUGCAUAUAGCCGUUUUCGCUUGAUAAGAAUUUUCGCAAAAGCAAAAUGUCCGAUUUUGAAGGCGCAACGAAAAAUGUGUCUACGUCGAUGAGCCAAUUGAUCCGAUCACUUCAUACCUUCAGUGUUUAACAACACGAAAUGGUCAGUCGACGCUCAGUGUUACAAUGCAUCAAUCUAUGUAUAAUCGCAUCGAAGAAACGAAGUGACGUCAGGAAACGCUUGAAAUAAUGACGCGAGCUGCAAGAGCAUCUCAGAUCAUUUUUGAUGGACGUACGGGCGUCGACCUAUAAACCACACCGAAAGGCAGAAAGCAUAAUCGAUAACCGACUUUAUCCUGCCACAGAGAGAUGCCUAAACAAGACUGUACUUUAAACUUAUGACAAGUCUAACUUAUGACACGAGGCUGACGAGGCACUUCCGUAAAGUGGUAACAUCAUAGCACGCUAACCGAAAUUUUCAGAGAAUGCUACGGCAAUCGUUACUUCUACAGUUUCUGCCACGAAUAGCGCGCUCAUCGCUCCUUUAUGCAGAGUGGCGUGCUAAUUCCAUGGCAUCAUCAGUCAGCCUCCACCUUCUUGCCGCUCCCUUAAUCAAAGUUGUGGUUCUGGAAUGGUUUGCGCCUCUCUGCCAGGAAAGCACUGAGCGUCAAGGAUUAGCGGGAAAGCUUACACAACGGAGAUAGACGAAACACACUUGAAGAAGUUUUACUGCAACGUGGAUCUUACGAUGUACCUGACGUUGCUAUAUCUUUAAUAUAGUAAUGAAUCUGCCCUAGAAGAAAGGACCAACGCUAUGGCCGUGCUUGUCUUAGAGGAUGGUUCCGUAGGUCUUUCUGGUACUGGACAAAAUUUCGCAUCCUUGCCUGUUUUUGAGGAGGUACUCCAACUGUUUACGAAUUUAGCAAAAAAUAACCACGGUACAGCGCUCAAGUCGCUAGGAUUUCGUCGAAGCGAGGAGUGGGCAUACGUCAGAAGUUUCUCGAGAUUACCUAGAGACACGCACAUGAUACAGACGGUACACGUUUAAAGGAGUUAAGACGGCUAACGUCAGUUAUGAACAUCUCUUUAAUCUUUACGCAUGGAACCUAGAGUGCGUACAUAGCAGAGCGUUUUUCAACCGUUACCUACCCAAAGAU